CUCCUGGCUUCCUUUGGAUGAAGAUGUAGAACUCUCAGCUCCUCCAGUGCUCUGUCUGUCUGGACACAGUUGUGUUUCCUGCCCUGAUGAUAACAGACUGAACCUCUGCACCUGCCCAACAGCAAAGCCCAGUGCAGAAGAAAAAGACACCAUCUCUUAUUUCACUGGAGAUACCGAGAAAUCCAGUUACAGCUCUGGGAUGAAAGCUGCAAGAAGAUGGCAAGAGGGGAAGAAACAUGAUCAGAACCAAGGCCCACAAUUGAGUGAUAGCAGAUCCAGGCAUCCAUAGUGUGGUGCAUUGGAUAAAAAUGGUCCCCAUAGGCCCAUGGGAAUUGGCAAUAUUAGGCACUUGGAGGGAGGGUGUCACUGGGUUAAACUUUGAGGUUUCAGAUACUCAAUGGGCCCAGGGUCACUCUUUCUUCCUGCUUCCUGAUAAUGCAGAUGUAGACCUCUUGGCUAAUUCUCCAGUGCCAUGUCCACCUCCUUGCCCCAUGCUUCCUACCCUAAAGGCAAUGAACUAACUCUCUGAACUCUAAAUCCAGUAAAAGUAAAAUAUUCUAUGUAAGA
Molecule: long non-coding RNA, 567 nt
Organism: Mastomys coucha (southern multimammate mouse)
Lineage: Eukaryota; Metazoa; Chordata; Mammalia; Rodentia; Muridae
Exons: 2
Source: RefSeq, a predicted model, not a curated record